GGCGUGGAAGACAUGGUGGCCGACGGUGGGAGUAGCGGCUGCGGCGGUGCGGAAAUGAUCUCUCCCAUCUAUGGCUGGAGUGGCUGGGCCUGAGGAGUGCACAAUGCUGCUGAGCUAGAUAGCUUGUGGCUUCCCUGUCUCUGCGCUGGUCACAUGGAAACGCUCAUGCUAUGGAAAGUGGAAUUAGUUGCUCCAGGAGCGGCUAUUGGCCAGCGUCCUCGUCGGCAAGAUCACUGUGUGGUGUUUGGGUAG
This 252-nucleotide long non-coding RNA is filed under the name Chelydra serpentina (North American snapping turtle). RNAcentral describes it as "lncRNA (ENSCSRG00000004209.1)". The record is from RNAcentral. Lineage: Eukaryota; Metazoa; Chordata; Testudines; Chelydridae.